RNAcentral lists this ribosomal RNA (253 nucleotides) under uncultured bacterium. RNAcentral describes it as "partial 16S ribosomal RNA". It matches the Rfam family "Bacterial small subunit ribosomal RNA", at positions 524 to 776 of the family's 1533-position model. The record is from RNAcentral.
UACGGAGGGGGCUAGCGUUGUUCGGAAUUACUGGGCGUAAAGCGCACGUAGGCGGCUUUGUAAGUUAGAGGUGAAAGCCCGGGGCUCAACUCCGGAAUUGCCUUUAAGACUGCAUCGCUAGAAUUGUGGAGAGGUAAGUGGAAUUCCGAGUGUAGAGGUGAAAUUCGUAGAUAUUCGGAAGAACACCAGUGGCGAAGGCGACUUACUGGACCAGAACUGACGAUCAGGCACGAAAGCGUGGGGAGCAAACAGG